AACGAACGCUGGCGGCAUGCCUAACACAUGCAAGUCGAACGAGAUCUUCGGGUCUAGUGGCGCACGGGUGCGUAACGCGUGGGAAUCUGUCCUUUGGUUUGGAAUAACAGUUGGAAACGACUGCUAAUACCGGAUGAUGACGAAAGUCCAAAGAUUUAUCGCCAGAGGAUGAGCCCGCGUAGGAUUAGCUAGUUGGUGUGGUAAAGGCGCACCAAAGCGACGAUCCUUAGCUGGUCUGAGAGGAUGAUCAGCCACACUGGGACUGAGACACGGCCCAGACUCCUACGGGAGGCAGCAGUGGGGAAUAUUGGACAAUGGGCGAAAGCCUGAUCCAGCAAUGCCGCGUGAGUGAUGAAGGCCUUAGGGUUGUAAAGCUCUUUUACCCGGGAUGAUAAUGACAGUACCGGGAGAAUAAGCUCCGGCUAACUCCGUGCCAGCCGCCGCGGUAA
This 449-nucleotide ribosomal RNA is filed under the name uncultured bacterium. RNAcentral's name for it is "partial 16S ribosomal RNA". It matches the Rfam family "Bacterial small subunit ribosomal RNA", at positions 29 to 523 of the family's 1533-position model. The record is from RNAcentral.